AGAGCCCCGACUGCCCAGAGACAGCCCGAUGGCCUGUACCCGCAGCGCGGUGACAAAUUCCUUUCCUGAGUGCCCCCAAGAGCUGCUCAACAACUGCGCCCAACGCUGAAGGAUGCCCGGCCCGGCCCCGCACCCCUGCGAGUAACAAACGGGGCAGGGUCCAGGGUGCGACCCGAGAAUCUCCAAGUGCACCAAGCUGCCAGGAGAUGGUCACCUGCGCCUGGCGCCCUGGAGGCCACUACCUGUCCACAGAACGAGCCGGAAACCCGGCCUUUUGGCUCGAACGCAAAAUCGGGACCAGCCUUGGCGCCGGGUGAGCUGCAGGGAGCUCAGCAAACAGGGUAACGACACUGAUGCCUUCCUGCCCAACUACACAGAAAAGCAAACCGAGACCACGGGAGUGGCUUACCCAGGGGGUGCUCAGUUGUGAGACAUAUUUGGUUUUCUGGAAAAUUUAGGUAUUCUUACCCUUUUUGUGUGCCAGGCCAGUCUUGUGAAGCCCAUGGACACCUCAGAAUAAUGCUCUUAAGUGCAUAAAGUAAAACAGGUAGGAUUACAAAAGAAAAAGGUCAUAUUGAAAUUAGAAACGCUACAUUGACAGCAUAGUAUUGUUUCUUUACUAAUGCAUUAAUAAGCUCUAGCAGCAGGUCUAGUAACUCUGGAAUUUCAAAAAAGGUGCUGAAAAGAUAUUUUGAGAUGUCUGUAACAUCAGAAAUGUAACAUGAAAAUAUCUGUGAUUUAUCUUGGUGCAAAAUGACAGGUUCAACUACUCUUGAUGUUGCCAGUAUUCAUAAUGGAGGAAAUAAAUCUUGCUUAGAGGUUUGUGAAAAUGUAGCUGUAAUCUUUUUUCCCUUCCAUUUUUUGAGAUUUCCCAUCCUGUGGUGCAGUUUCAUCCAUGAAUCCAAGGUCUACAGACCCCAGGUUAAGAAUACCUGGAUCAGCAAUCUAAGUGUUCAUCAGUAGAUGAAUGGAUAAAGAAGAUGUGGUACAUAUACACAAUGGAAUACUAUUCAGCCAUAAGAAAGAAAGAAAUCCUACCAUUUGCAACAACAUGGGUGGAGUUAGACGGUAUUAUCCUCAGUGAAAUAAAUCAGGCAGAGAAAGACAAAUACCAAAUGAUUUCCCUCAUUUGUGGAGUAUAACAAUGAAGCGAAAGUAAGGGAACAAAAAUAGCAGCAGACUCACAGACUCCAAGAAGAGACUAGUGGUUACCAAAGGGGAAGGGUGGGGAGGGCCAGUUGGGAGGGAAGGAGAAGGGGACUGGGGGGUAUCAUGAAUGGUGCACAUGGUGUGUGGGAGGUCAAGAGGAAGACAGUGUAGCUCAGAGAAGACAGAUAGGGACUCUGUGGCAUCUUACACUGAUGGACAGUGACUGCAAUGGGGUAUGGGGGAGGGACUCGAUAAUAAAGAUGAAUGUAGUAACCACAUUUUCUUGUGAAACCUUCAUAAGAGUGUAUAUCAAUGAUACCUUAAUUUAAAAAAUACCUGGAUCUAUUAAUUAAUCUUUUUUGAGUAAUGAUGGUAGGUCCAUUAUUAAAUGCUUGCUAGUUGCCUAUUAAAAGGCUUAUACACAAUAUUAUUAAUCUUCAUACCAUUCUAUGAUAUAGUUAUAAUUCUAAACAGAUGUAGAAAUGGAGGCAUUGUUUGGUUAAGAAAUUUGCCUAAAAAGAGAAAAUCAAAUUCUUAACUCAGGAAUCUAACUACAUUUUUGGUCUUCUAGUCCAUAUUUAAAUGAGUAACACUUUUCUUAUCCAAACUUAAGGUAUAAAGUUUUAGAGAAAGGAGAAUCAAAACUUUUUGUUGUUUUUUAAAAUAUAUUUUUGUAAUAAAUAUUUUGUAUAAAAUUUGUCAUAUAUAUCACAAACUUUUGUCCAGUGGUUUCUGUUCUUUGGUCUUAAUACCUUUAUAGUCAUGCUUUAAAGUAAUUUUUACUACUACUGUAGAUGAAGUGAAGAAUAAACAAAAUGCAUCUCUAUUUCUGGAUGUCCAUAAUCAUUUUAUAUUACAUUGUUUCUCAGAAGGAGCCAAGGGUGGUCCAGUGAAGGAAAGAAAAAACAAUUUAAAAAAAUCCAGAAAUGUUAGGGUUUUCAUGGUUGUUAACGCUUAUCAUGAGAACUCAUCCUUUCUAAUUCUUGGUGUUUACAUCAGAAACCCCUAUGAGCUCAGAAAUCUUCAAUCAAAGAAAACUAUAAA
Molecule: long non-coding RNA, 2193 nt
Organism: Manis pentadactyla (Chinese pangolin)
Lineage: Eukaryota; Metazoa; Chordata; Mammalia; Pholidota; Manidae
Exons: 2
Source: RefSeq, a predicted model, not a curated record